Molecule: non-coding RNA, 73 nt
Organism: Potamilus streckersoni
Lineage: Eukaryota; Metazoa; Mollusca; Bivalvia; Unionida; Unionidae
Source: the annotation of a GenBank genome assembly
GUUCCGGUGGCCUAGUGGUUAGAGCGUCCGCCUCGGAUGCGAUAGAUCUCAGGUUCGAAUCACGACCGAGUCA